RNAcentral lists this ribosomal RNA (484 nucleotides) under uncultured bacterium. RNAcentral's name for it is "partial 16S ribosomal RNA". It matches the Rfam family "Bacterial small subunit ribosomal RNA", at positions 29 to 507 of the family's 1533-position model. The record is from RNAcentral.
AUUGAACGCUGGCGGCAUGCUUUACACAUGCAAGUCGAACGGCAGCGCGGGCUUCGGCCUGGCGGCGAGUGGCGAACGGGUGAGUAAUCCAUCGGAACGUGCCCAGUAGUGGGGGAUAGCUCGGCGAAAGCCGGAUUAAUACCUCAUACGACCUGAGGGUGAAAGCGGGGGAUCUUCGGACCUCGCGCUCUUGGAGCGGCCGAUGGCAGAUUAGCUAGUUGGUGGGGUAAAGGCCUACCAAGGCGACGAUCUGUAGCUGGUCUGAGAGGACGACCAGCCACACUGGGACUGAGACACGGCCCAGACUCCUACGGGAGGCAGCAGUGGGGAAUUUUGGACAAUGGGCGAAAGCCUGAUCCAGCAAUGCCGCGUGUGGGAUGAAGGCCUUCGGGUUGUAAAGCACUUUUGGCGGGAAAGAAAAGGACUGUGCCAAUACCACGGUUCGAUGACGGUACCCGCAGAAUAAGCACCGGCUAACUACGUG